Molecule: ribosomal RNA, 451 nt
Filed under: uncultured bacterium
Lineage: Bacteria
Description: bacterial SSU rRNA
Rfam family: Bacterial small subunit ribosomal RNA
Source: RNAcentral
CUCCGAUCGGUAGCCGGCCUGAGAGGGCGGACGGCCACACUGGAACUGAGACACGGUCCAGACUCCUACGGGAGGCAGCAGUGGGGAAUUUUCGCAAUGGGCGCAAGCCUGACGAAGCAACGCCGCGUGGAGGAUGAAGGUCUUCGGAUUGUAAAACUCCUGUCGACCGGGACGAAUGCACUCGACCUAAUACGUCGGAAUGUUGACGGUACCGGUGGAGGAAGCCACGGCUAACUCUGUGCCAGCAGCCGCGGUAAUACAGAGGUGGCAAGCGUUGUUCGGAAUUACUGGGCGUAAAGGGCGCGUAGGCGGCCUUGUAAGUCUCGUGUGAAAGCCCUCGGCUUAACUGAGGAUCUGCACGGGAUACUGUAAGGCUCGAGUUCGGGAGAGGAAAGCGGAAUUCCGGGUGUAGCGGUGAAAUGCGUAGAUAUCCGGAGGAACACCAGUGGCU